CAGUAGCCACGGGAAUACGGAGGAUCCAAGCGUUAUCCGGAUUUAUUGGGUUUAAAGGGUGCGUAGGUGGCCUGUUAAGUCAGGGGUGAAAGACGGUAGCUUAACUAGCGCAGUGCCCUUGAUACUGAUGGGCUUGAAUGAACUAGAGGUAGGCGGAAUGUGACAAGUAGCGGUGAAAUGCAUAGAUAUGUCACAGAACACCAAUUGCGAAGGCAGCUUACUAUGGUUUUAUUGACACUGAGGCACGAAAGCGUGGGGAUCAAACAGGAUUAGAUACCCCCGUAGUCCCUGUCUCUUAUAC
Molecule: ribosomal RNA, 301 nt
Filed under: uncultured bacterium
Lineage: Bacteria
Description: partial 16S ribosomal RNA
Rfam family: Bacterial small subunit ribosomal RNA
Source: RNAcentral